GAUGAACGCUAGCGGCAGGCCUAACACAUGCAAGUCGAGGGGCAGCACAGAAACAGCAAUGUUUUGGUGGCGACCGGCGGACGGGUGCGUAACGCGUAUGCAACCUACCUUUAACGGGGGGAUAACGGAGAGAAAUUUCCACUAAUAACCCAUAACAUCGAUCAAGGCAUCUUGAUUGGUUGAAAACUCCGGUGGUUAAAGAUGGGCAUGCGUUGUAUUAGGUAGUUGGUGAGGUAAUGGCUCACCAAGCCUACGAUACAUAGGGGGACUGGGAGGUUAGCCCCCCACACUGGUACUGAGACACGGACCAGACUCCUACGGGAGGCAGCAGUGAGGAAUAUUGGUCAAUGGGGGCAACCCUGAACCAGCCAUGCCGCGUGCAGGAAGACGGCUCUAUGAGUUGUAAACUGCUUUUAAACAGGGAUAAAGCACAGUAUGUAUACUGUGUUGAAGGUACUGUAAGAAUAAGGAUCGGCUAACUCCGUGCCAGCCGCCGCAGUAA
RNAcentral lists this ribosomal RNA (502 nucleotides) under uncultured bacterium. RNAcentral's name for it is "partial 16S ribosomal RNA". It matches the Rfam family "Bacterial small subunit ribosomal RNA", at positions 28 to 523 of the family's 1533-position model. The record is from RNAcentral.